UAAAAAGCUGCGCUGUCCCUUUUUCUACCAAACCGGAAGUACUUUACUGGUCACCCAAGACCAAGAUCACCGAAGAAGCAGCAGCAGUGGAAAGAUGGCUCACAGGCUGCUGGUGCGCAGGUUUUGGACACUCUCCUCAAAAGAUCUCCGCUGCCUCCCGGUGUCCGUAUCCUCCUCCUCUUCGUUCUCCACCUCGCUGCAGUCGGCCAGAGUCCCCGUCCUCUCUCGCUCCCGCUCCCUGCCUCGCUCCCUCACCCACGCCUCCCCCCGCCGGGCAGUCUCCUUCAACGUCCAGGAUCAUGAUGACUUCGACGACCGGGUCAUCAAGAGCGAGCUGCCGGUGCUAGUGGACUUCCACGCCCAGUGGUGCGGCCCCUGUAAGAUCCUCGGCCCCAGGCUGGAGAAAGCUGUGGCGAAACAGAAAGGCCGCGUCGCCAUGGCAAAGGUCGACAUCGACGACCACACAGACCUAGCUAUCGAAUACGGGGUGUCUGCCGUCCCGACAGUAAUCGCCAUCCGGGGCGGGGACGUGGUCGAUCACUUCGUGGGGAUCAAAGACGACGACGAGCUGGAGUCAUUCGUCAGCAAGAUCAUCGGGAAAUGAACCAGCUGCCACACCCCCCCUCCCUCCCUCCGUCAGAUCUCCCACUCAACAGCACCAUGCGGUCCGGGCCGGGAUUAGAUCAUCGCAGUAGCAACCAGGGGAAGAGAGGCUGGGGGAAUUCCACUGGCAUUGCAUAAUCAGGUGAUCCAGAUGUACCAUUGUGUUCGGGAUGAAAGACAUUCCUGCAUAGUUUUCAGAUGUCUGGGACUGCAUGACGGCACCUUUUGUUAUUAAGGAUCUGUGUUUUAACCUCUUACUGCCUCCUUAUUGUCUGCUUUACUAUCAGCAGCGGUGGGAGCAGUGCCAAGAGCCUUCCAAAGUAAAAGUAUAGUUCACCAGCAAAAUGUAAAUAAAGUAAAAGUAUUCAUCCCUCGAAAUUACAAUGAACAUUUAGAAAAUGGAGAAGAUAACAGCAUAUGUUAAUCAUAAAUUGGAACAACUUGCUUCACACUGGGAAACAUGGAUUAAGUGCAUGACGCCCCAUAGACCUGAUUUUAUUCAGGAAGACAAGAUCACUCCCUACCUGUUCAUAGUUUUUGUCUCCUGAUGGUUUUGUUUUUUCCUUUUAAAUGUGUGUCUCUUUUAUAAAAACGGUUCUGACAUUUGUGGCAAACAUGGAUGAAUGGGGUACUGUAUCUUGUAUUGUUUUGCACUGUGUAUGUUGAGUUGUUGGAGGAGCAUGGGAUAUAAGAUUUUCAUUGCCAACAUAUAUGCUGUAUCUGCUGUGCAUAUGACCAAUAAAACCUUUGAACCUUCAA
Molecule: RNA transcript, 1362 nt
Organism: Eleginops maclovinus (Patagonian blennie)
Lineage: Eukaryota; Metazoa; Chordata; Actinopteri; Perciformes; Eleginopidae
Gene: txn2
Gene name: thioredoxin 2
Exons: 5
Source: RefSeq, a predicted model, not a curated record